This 640-nucleotide long non-coding RNA is filed under the name Lathyrus oleraceus (garden pea). RNAcentral's name for it is "Pisum sativum (pea) long non-coding RNA (PSAT_LNC005645)". The record is from RNAcentral. Lineage: Eukaryota; Viridiplantae; Streptophyta; Magnoliopsida; Fabales; Fabaceae.
GUGUUUUUUUUCUUCAUAAAUUUAACACAUAUUUGUCCAUAAAAACAGUCAUUUUCUUUAUUUCUUUUUUUCUUUGUAAAUUUUUUUAAACAACAUAUUAUGAUAACAAUACAUUAUAUUUUAGAAUUUCAGAUUUUAAAAAACUUAAAUAUCAAUACAUUAUCAUUUAAGUCAAUAUAAUUAUUCAUAAAAAAUUCCCAUAUUUUCUUGUUUUAGUGUUAAACGCAUAUAUUUAAUUUUAAAAACGAGGUAUAAAAUAAGAAUAAUUUAUUCUACUUGUGCUGAUUUGGUGUACUAAACAUAGUCACCUUGAGAAGGCUUCUAUGUUAAACAAAUGCUUUAAGUAGCUAAGUAAUAUGUAUAAGUAUAUGUCAUUUUCAUUCAUAUACAUCAAUUUGGAGUGUUUCAUCCCAUCCGAUAACGGUCAAAGCAAACAUAGCUCUUUUCCCAUGUAUCCAUCUAAUAGAUUAUAUGUAUCUAGCAAAAGUAGCUCUACAUUAUUUUCACAAUUUGUGUCUUUUUUCUUCCUAAAUUUGACACAUAUUUGUCCAUAAAAACAGUCAUUUUCUUUAUUUCUUUUUUUCUUUGUAAAUUUUUUUAAACAACAUAUUAUGAUAUCAAUACAUUAUAUUUUAGAAUU